RNAcentral lists this ribosomal RNA (792 nucleotides) under uncultured bacterium. RNAcentral's name for it is "bacterial SSU rRNA". It matches the Rfam family "Bacterial small subunit ribosomal RNA", at positions 552 to 1341 of the family's 1533-position model. The record is from RNAcentral.
UAUUGGGCGUAAAGAGCUCGUAGGCGGCUUGUCGCGUCUGCCGUGAAAGUCCGGGGCUUAACUCCGGAUCUGCGGUGGGUACGGGCAGACUAGAGUGCAGUAGGGGAGACUGGAAUUCCUGGUGUAGCGGUGAAAUGCGCAGAUAUCAGGAGGAACACCGAUGGCGAAGGCAGGUCUCUGGGCUGUAACUGACGCUGAGGAGCGAAAGCAUGGGGAGCGAACAGGAUUAGAUACCCUGGUAGUCCAUGCCGUAAACGUUGGGCACUAGGUGUGGGGGACAUUCCACGUUUUCCGCGCCGUAGCUAGCGCAUUAAGUGCCCCGCCUGGGGAGUACGGCCGCAAGGCUAAAACUCAAAGGAAUUGACGGGGGCCCGCACAAGCGGCGGAGCAUGCGGAUUAAUUCGAUGCAACGCGAAGAACCUUACCAAGGCUUGACAUGUUCCUGACCGCCGUAGAGAUACGGUUUCCCCUUUGGGGCAGGUUCACAGGUGGUGCAUGGUUGUCGUCAGCUCGUGUCGUGAGAUGUUGGGUUAAGUCCCGCAACGAGUGCAACCCUCGUUCCAUGUUGCCAGCACUUUUAGGUGGGGACUCAUGGGAGACUGCCGGGGUCAACUCGGAGGAAGGUGGGGACGACGUCAAAUCAUCAUGCCCCUUAUGUCUUGGGCUUCACGCAUGCUACAAUGGCCGGUACAAUGGGUUGCGAUACUGUGAGGUGGAGCUAAUCCCAAAAAGCCGGUCUCAGUUCGGAUUGGGGUCUGCAAAUCGACCCCAUGAAGUCGGAGUCGCUAGUAA